RNAcentral lists this unclassified non-coding RNA (1500 nucleotides) under Leishmania donovani. RNAcentral describes it as "gene:LdHU3.23.0080(CDS-product:cyclophilin_11_put ative)". Lineage: Eukaryota; Euglenozoa; Kinetoplastea; Trypanosomatida; Trypanosomatidae. The record is from RNAcentral.
GAGGAGAAACCACUCUGCCUGUAGAAAUCACGAGUCAGUGGGGGAAAAAGGAGACGAGGUGCCAAGUGCCUUUUCGCCGAUCGGAAUGUCUCGUAUGAGCGUCCCGCCGAAGGCCGGGCAGCGCCCCGGCAUUGCUGUUGAGAAGGCGACCAAUCCAAAGGUAUUUUUCGAUAUCAGCAUUGACAACAAGGCAGCCGGGCGCAUGGUCAUGGAGCUGUACGCCGACACAGUUCCCAAGACGGUCGAGAAUUUCCGGGCUCUCUGCACGGGGGAGAAAGGCAAGGGCCGCAGCGGCAAGCCCCUGCAUUAUAAGAACAGCGUGUUUCACCGCGUCAUCCCGAAUUUCAUGAUCCAAGGCGGCGACUUUACCCGGGGAAACGGCACAGGCGGCGAGUCUAUCUAUGGCACCACCUUCCGGGAUGAGUCGUUUUCUGGGAAAGCCGGCCGGCACACUGGGCUGGGGUGUCUGUCCAUGGCCAACGCAGGUCCCAAUACGAACGGGUCACAGUUUUUCAUUUGCACUGCUGCAACCCCGUGGCUCGACGGCAAGCACGUUGUCUUUGGCCGUGUCAUCGAUGGUCUUGACGUUGUGAAGAAAGUUGAGCGACUGGGAUCGUCUUCCGGGAAGCCGCGCAGUCGCAUCGUGGUGUCUGACUGCGGUGAGUUGGCGGCUGAUAAAUCUAAGGAACAGCGGCAACACCAGCGGCAACAUCAGCCAGCGAAGGCAUCUGCGGACAUGAAGCAUGCCGCGGACAAGAAGGCCGUUGCGGAGAAGAAGUUGAUAGUGUCUUCUCCAGCAGCCGAGGGGCAGAGGGCUCUCUCUGCAAAGAAAGAGGCACCACCUCAGGUUGCCGCACCAAGUGAGACGAAGAAGCGCAUGCGCGAGGUGGACGAGGACGAGGCGCGAAUGACUCGACUUCGUGAGAAAAAGGCAAAAUUGGCCGCCCUGCGCUCCAGCGCUGUGGGGAACGAAUAACUGCGAGCUUUAGCGACUGACCUGAUUAACUAUCUUCUAGGUGAUUCUUGUGUAGCGUCUCCCUUCGAAGUUUUAAUGAAAGAGCAGAGAUCCGGUUAAUAGGAGCCGCGCCUCGAUAAAAGAUAACGAAAAAAGAAUCCAUCAAGCGCCAGAGCGCCUUCCUUGUGGGGUGUUGAAUGAAUUAACGGUAAAGUGGCGGCACGCUGGGCCGAGGAUCUAGCGGGCGACGCUCGGAUGACAGUUGCUGGGCUUCUACCACGUGAUGCCAGAGACGUGGCACCAUUGCACCGGUGACAAACGGAGGGUGCCAGCUCGCACUCUGAGGCUGGCGGUGACGUACCCGCCAUCUACCUCUUUUAGCAUCCUUUCGUUGUUCUCCUUCCUUUAUUUCUACGUUUGCCUUUUUUUCUCGGCUCACCGCACAUUGCACAAAUAUGGUCUUGUUUGUGCUCUUUUUCUUUUCACUUGGUGCGCCGUGUGACUUUCUUGGGAACGUGCACCGCAACUGCGUUGUUUCGGAUCAG